This is a long non-coding RNA of Pan troglodytes (chimpanzee), 330 nucleotides long. RefSeq lists it as uncharacterized. The transcript has 2 exons. The record is from RefSeq and is a predicted model, not a curated record. NCBI's taxonomy places the organism in Eukaryota, Metazoa, Chordata, Mammalia, Primates, Hominidae.
CUCCUCCAGCAUCAGCUGUGGAGAGACAUGACGCUGAAGGGAAGCUGGCCUCCAAGUCAGGGAGAGCUCUGAAUGUGCAAGUAAAAGAGUUGGAGCUUUAUUCUGCAGACAGUGGUAUACAGUUCUAUGGAUCUGAACAUGUGCAGAUGUGUGUAUCCUCCACCACCAUCAGGAUACGGGAAAACUCCAUCAUCCCCUAAAAACGCACUCAUGCUGUUGUUUUAUAGUUAUAUCCUCACCCCACCCAUAGUCCUGGCAAAUACUAAUAUGUUUUCCAUCACCAUAAUUUUGUCUUUUUGAGAGUAUCAAGUAAAUGAAAUUACAGUGUGU